This 698-nucleotide ribosomal RNA is filed under the name uncultured Pseudomonadota bacterium. RNAcentral describes it as "bacterial SSU rRNA". It matches the Rfam family "Bacterial small subunit ribosomal RNA", at positions 60 to 752 of the family's 1533-position model. Lineage: Bacteria; Pseudomonadati; Pseudomonadota. The record is from RNAcentral.
AGUCGAGCGGGCGAGGUUGCUUCGGUAACUGAGCUAGCGGCGGACGGGUGAGUAAUGCUUAGGAAUCUGCCUAUUAGUGGGGGACAACAUUCCGAAAGGAAUGCUAAUACCGCAUACGCCCUACGGGGGAAAGCAGGGGAUCUUCGGACCUUGCGCUAAUAGAUGAGCCUAAGUCAGAUUAGCUAGUUGGUGGGGUAAAGGCCUACCAAGGCGACGAUCUGUAGCGGGUCUGAGAGGAUGAUCCGCCACACUGGGACUGAGACACGGCCCAGACUCCUACGGGAGGCAGCAGUGGGGAAUAUUGGACAAUGGGCGCAAGCCUGAUCCAGCCAUGCCGCGUGUGUGAAGAAGGCCUUUUGGUUGUAAAGCACUUUAAGCGAGGAGGAGGCUACUUGGAUUAAUACUCUAGGAUAGUGGACGUUACUCGCAGAAUAAGCACCGGCUAACUCUGUGCCAGCAGCCGCGGUAAUACAGAGGGUGCGAGCGUUAAUCGGAUUUACUGGGCGUAAAGCGUGCGUAGGCGGCUUUUUAAGUCGGAUGUGAAAUCCCUGAGCUUAACUUAGGAAUUGCAUUCGAUACUGGGAAGCUAGAGUAUGGGAGAGGAUGGUAGAAUUCCAGGUGUAGCGGUGAAAUGCGUAGAGAUCUGGAGGAAUACCGAUGGCGAAGGCAGCCAUCUGGCCUAAUACUGACGCUGAGGU